GGGACCUCCCACCUUAAAGGCGUGCAACAGAGAGCAGACACAACAGAGAGAGCUACGCUGCACCGGACUCACUAUCUCAGGUUCAUUCAGAAUCACAGAACCAUUACUGGGCCACUCCAGUAAAAUGGCAAAGAUGGACUUUUCCUUUGGUCUGGAAGUGUACCUGUUGAAGAUAAGGCCCAUUCAGGAAUUUUUAACAAAGGGGCAGAGAUGGCCUCGCCGUUGACCUUCAUCCACUGACCCAUCUGCCUCAGACGCUCCUCAAAGAUCGGAGCGAUUCGUCCAUCGUGUGUAGGGC
Long non-coding RNA from Monopterus albus (swamp eel), 298 nucleotides. RefSeq lists it as uncharacterized. The record is from RefSeq and is a predicted model, not a curated record. Lineage: Eukaryota; Metazoa; Chordata; Actinopteri; Synbranchiformes; Synbranchidae. The transcript is spliced from 3 exons.